AACGAACGCUGGCGGCAUGCCUAACACAUGCAAGUCGAACGAGACCUUCGGGUCUAGUGGCGCACGGGUGCGUAACGCGUGGGAACCUGCCCUUAGGUUCGGAAUAAUUCCCCGAAAGGGGUGCUAAUACCGGAUAAUGUCUUCGGACCAAAGAUUUAUCGCCUUUGGAUGGGCCCGCGUUGGUUUAGCUUGUUGGUAGGGUAAAAGCCUACCAAGGCGACGAUCCAUAGCUGGUCUGAGAGGAUGAUCAGCCACACUGGGACUGAGACACGGCCCAGACUCCUGCGAGAGGCCGCAGUGGGGAAUAUUGGACACUGGGCGAGAGCCUGAUCCAGCAAGGCCGCGUGAGUGAUGAAGGCCUUAGGGUUGUAAAGCUCUUUUACCCGGGAUGAUAAUGACAGUACCGGGAGAAUAGGCACCGGCUAACUCCGU
RNAcentral lists this ribosomal RNA (432 nucleotides) under uncultured bacterium. RNAcentral's name for it is "partial 16S ribosomal RNA". It matches the Rfam family "Bacterial small subunit ribosomal RNA", at positions 29 to 506 of the family's 1533-position model. The record is from RNAcentral.